AGAGUUUGAUCCUGGCUCAGGACGAACGCUGGCGGCGUGCCUAAUACAUGCAAGUCGAGCGGACAGAUGGGAGCUUGCUCCCUGAUGUUAGCGGCGGACGGGUGAGUAACACGUGGGUAACCUGCCUGUAAGACUGGGAUAACUCCGGGAAACCGGGGCUAAUACCGGGUGGUUGUUUGAACCGCAUGGUUCAAACAUAAAAGGUGGCUUCGGCUACCACUUACAGAUGGACCCGCGGCGCAUUAGCUAGUUGGUGAGGUAACGGCUCACCAAGGCGACGAUGCGUAGCCGACCUGAGAGGGUGAUCGGCCACACUGGGACUGGGACACGGCCCAGACUCCUACGGGAGGCAGCAGUAGGGAAUCUUCCGCAAUGGACGAAAGUCUGACGGAGCAACGCCGCGUGAGUGAUGAAGGUUUUCGGAUCGUAAAGCUCUGUUGUUAGGGAAGAACAAGUGCCGUUCGAAUAGGGCGGUACCUUGACGGUACCUAACCAGAAAGCCACGGCUAACUACGUGCCAGCAGCCGCGGUAAUACGUAGGUGGCAAGCGUUGUCCGGAAUUAUUGGGCGUAAAGGGCUCGCAGGCGGUUUCUUAAGUCUGAUGUGAAAGCCCCCGGCUCAACCGGGGAGGGUCAUUGGAAACUGGGGAACUUGAGUGCAGAAGAGGAGAGUGGAAUUCCACGUGUAGCGGUGAAAUGCGUAGAGAUGUGGAGGAACACCAGUGGCGAAGGCGACUCUCUGGUCUGUAACUGACGCUGAGGAGCGAAAGCGUGGGGAGCGAACAGGAUUAGAUACCCUGGUAGUCCACGCCGUAAACGAUGAGUGCUAAGUGUUAGGGAGUUUCCGCCCCUUAGUGCUGCAGCUAACGCAUUAAGCACUCCGCCUGGGGAGUACGGUCGCAAGACUGAAACUCAAAGGAAUUGACGGGGGCCCGCACAAGCGGUGGAGCAUGUGGUUUAAUUCGAAGCAACGCGAAGAACCUUACCAGGUCUUGACAUCCUCUGACAAUCCUAGAGAUAGGACGUCCCCUUCGGGGGCAGAGUGACAGGUGGUGCAUGGUUGUCGUCAGCACGUGUCGUGAGAUGUUGGGUUAAGUCCCGCAACGAGCGCAACCCUUGAUCUUAGUUGCCAGCAUUCAGUUGGGCACUCUAAGGUGACUGCCGGUGACAAACCGGAGGAAGGUGGGGAUGACGUCAAAUCAUCAUGCCCCUUAUGACCUGGGCUACACACGUGCUACAAUGGACAGAACAAAGGGCAGCGAAACCGCGAGGUUAAGCCAAUCCCACAAAUCCGUUCUCAGUUCGGAUCGCAGUCUGCAACCCGACUGCGUGAAGCUGGAAUCGCUAGUAAUCGCGGAUCAGCAUGCCGCGGUGAAUACGUUCCCGGGCCUUGUACACACCGCCCGUCACACCACGAGAGUUUGUAACACCCGAAGUCGGUGAGGUAACCUUUUAGGAGCCAGCCGCCGAAGGUGGGACAGAUGAUUGGGGUGAAGUCGUAACAAGGUAGCCGUAUCGGAAGGUGCGGCUG
RNAcentral lists this ribosomal RNA (1530 nucleotides) under metagenome. RNAcentral describes it as "bacterial SSU rRNA". It matches the Rfam family "Bacterial small subunit ribosomal RNA". The record is from RNAcentral.